This 204-nucleotide unclassified non-coding RNA is filed under the name uncultured Ascomycota. Its description in RNAcentral is "sequence contains ITS1". Lineage: Eukaryota; Fungi; Ascomycota. The record is from RNAcentral.
CCGAGUUAGGGUUUCUCUCGAAGCCCGACCUCCCAACCCUUUGUCUACUAUACCUUGUCGUUGCUUCGGUGGACCGGUUUACCUGCCUAGCAAGUCUUGACCGCCGGGGACUCGUGCCCUGGAGAGCGUCCGCCGACGGCCCAACCACAAACUCUGGUACCAAACCAUGUCGUCUGAAUUUACUUGACUAAAAUCAAAAAAACA